RNAcentral lists this ribosomal RNA (515 nucleotides) under uncultured bacterium. Its description in RNAcentral is "partial 16S ribosomal RNA". It matches the Rfam family "Bacterial small subunit ribosomal RNA", at positions 28 to 523 of the family's 1533-position model. The record is from RNAcentral.
GAUGAACGCUGGCGGCGUGCCUAAUACAUGCAAGUCGAGCGAAUGGAUUAAGAGCUUGCUCUUAUGACGUUAGCGGCGGACGGGUGAGUAACACGUGAGUAACCUGCCCAUAAGACUGGGAUAACUCCGGGAAACCGGGGCUAAUACCGGAUAACAUUUUGAACCGCCUGGUUCGAAAUUGAAAGGCGCCUGCGGCUGUCACUUAGGGAUGGACCCGCGUCGCAUUAGCUAGUUGGUGAGGUAACGGCCUACCAAGGCAACGAUGCGUAGACGACGUGAGAGGGUGAUCGGCCACACUGGGACUGAGACACGGCCCAGACUCCUACGGGAGGCAGCAGUAGGGAAUCUUCCGCAAUGGACGAAAGUCUGACGGAGCAACGCCGCGUGAGUGAUGAAGGCUUUCGGGUCGUAAAACUCUGUUGUUAGGGAAGAACAAGUGCUAGUUGAAUAAGCUGGCACCUUGACGGUACCUAACCAGAAAGCCACGGCUAACUACGUGCCAGCCGCCGCCGUAA